Molecule: ribosomal RNA, 349 nt
Filed under: uncultured Methanosaeta sp.
Lineage: Archaea; Methanobacteriati; Methanobacteriota; Methanomicrobia; Methanotrichales; Methanotrichaceae
Description: bacterial SSU rRNA
Rfam family: Archaeal small subunit ribosomal RNA
Source: RNAcentral
UGCAUGGCCGUCGUCAGUUCGUACUGUGAAGCAUCCUGUUAAGUCAGGCAACGAGCGAGACCCACGCCCACAGUUGCCAGCGUACUCUCUGGAGUGACGGGGUACACUGUGGGGACCGCCGCUGCUAAAGCGGAGGAAGGAAUGGGCAACGGUAGGUCAGUAUGCCCCGAAUAUCCCGGGCUACACGCGAGCUACAAUGGUUGGUACAAUGGGUAUCUACCCCGAAAGGGGACGGGAAUCUCCUAAAACCAAUCUUAGUUCGGAUUGAGGGCUGCAACUCGCCCUCAUGAAGCUGGAAUCCGUAGUAAUCGCGUUUCAACAGAACGCGGUGAAUACGUCCCUGCUCCUU